RNAcentral lists this ribosomal RNA (828 nucleotides) under uncultured marine bacterium. Its description in RNAcentral is "bacterial SSU rRNA". It matches the Rfam family "Bacterial small subunit ribosomal RNA", at positions 55 to 931 of the family's 1533-position model. The record is from RNAcentral.
AUGCAAGUCGAACGAAGUAGCAAUACUUAGUGGCAGACGGGUGAGUAACAUGUAGGUAUCUUCCCUUUGGCCUGGAAUAACACGAGGAAACUUGUGCUAAUACUAGAUAAGUCUUUACGGAGAAAGCUUUAUGCACCAUUGGAUGAGCCUGCACUUGAUUAGUUUGUUGGUGGGGUAAUGGCCUACCAAGACUGUGACCAAUAGCUGAUUUGAGAGGAUGAUCAGCCACAUUGGGACUGAGACACGGCCCAAACUCCUACGGGAGGCAGCAGUGGGGAAUCUUGCACAAUGGAGGAAACUCUGAUGCAGCGAUGCCGCGUGAGUGAAGAAGGCCCUUGGGUUGUAAAGCUCUUUCGUCGGGGAAGAAAAUGACUGUACCCGAAUAAGAAGGUCCGGCUAACUUCGUGCCAGCAGCCGCGGUAAUACGAAGGGACCUAGCGUAGUUCGGAAUUACUGGGCUUAAAGAGUUCGUAGGUGGUUGAAAAAGUUGGUGGUGAAAUCCCAGAGCUUAACUCUGGAACUGCCAUCAAAACUUUUCAGCUAGAGUAUGAUAGAGGAAAGCAGAAUUUCUAGUGUAGAGGUGAAAUUCGUAGAUAUUAGAAAGAAUACCAAUUGCGAAGGCAGCUUUCUGGAUCAUUACUGACACUGAAGAACGAAAGCAUGGGUAGCGAAGAGGAUUAGAUACCCUCGUAGUCCAUGCCGUAAACGAUGUGUGUUAGACGUUGGAAAUUUAUUUUCAGUGUCGCAGCGAAAGCGAUAAACACACCGCCUGGGGAGUACGACCGCAAGGUUAAAACUCAAAUGAAUUGACGGGGACCCGCACAAGUA